AUGUGUUUGUUACCAUUAGGUGAACAAGGGGACUGCAAGUGCCAGUGAAAUAUUAGCUGGUGCAUUGAAAGACAAUAAGCGUGCAGUGCUAUUUGGAGAGCCAACAUUUGGGAAAGGGAAGAUCCAGUCGGUCUUUGAGCUAUCUGAUGGCUCUGGGUUGGCUGUUACAGUAGCUCGUUAUGAGACCCCUGCACACAACGAUAUUGACAAGGUUGGUGUGAUUCCAGACCAUCCUCUACCUGGGUCAUUUCCUACUGAUGAAGAUGGAUUUUGUACCUGUCUCAAGGACCCUGCAUCUACUUGCAGUCUCAAUAAAGUCGAGCUAUUUUCAAGAUGACAAGGCCUUUUAGAUGUGAAUAUUAACAUUAUUUGUUCAAUUAUGUUGUUGCAAACCAGAAAAUUGGUUCACAUGGGUUCUGUAGUGGAGUUCCGAGGAUUUAGCUGUCAUUGUGUCCAUUUGAUUGCAAUUUAGGUAGGGUUUUCGAUCUUUUGUAUUAUACCCAUUCAUUUAAAUUAAUUUGCAGAAUUAUAUAAAUGGCGGUUCAUUGUUUU
This is a long non-coding RNA of Macadamia integrifolia, 552 nucleotides long. RefSeq lists it as uncharacterized. The record is from RefSeq and is a predicted model, not a curated record. NCBI's taxonomy places the organism in Eukaryota, Viridiplantae, Streptophyta, Magnoliopsida, Proteales, Proteaceae. The transcript is spliced from 3 exons.